CUUUUCAUCUUCAAAGUUCCCCGAAAUCCAAUUAUCCAAAUACCCCUAGUCACCAUUUCCUGGUUUGAUUCCUCUCUUCUCAACUACUACUUCCUCCGGUUCCCAUAUUCUUUCUCUCAAUUUCCGGUGUUUUCUCUUUUACUUCGAUCAGAUGAAAAAGUUGCUUAAACUAGCAAAUCGAAGGAUUUCACCCGAAGUUAGGACAAAAGGUUUCCAGCAAAGCUGGAAAAGGCUUUGAUGUGACAAAUUUCUGGUAGCUUCAUCAAUGUUUGAUUAUAUAUGCCCCACAGGCCUGUGUUGGUCAUGCCUUUUAUGAGGUCAAUGGCUGCAUCACUUGUAGUGUGUUCUCGUAUAGUAGGUCCAAUCCGAGUCCUCAUGUCAUACGUGAUACCAUAUUGGAUCUUUGUAAUGUGGUUGGAUAUGGUUACCUACUUGCAUCACCGCUGCCACGAGCAAAAGCUUCGUCGGCACAGAGGGGAGGAAUGUAGUUAUCUAAGUGGAGGGCUCACAAAAGUUGAUUGUGAUUAUGGGUGGAUUAACAACAUUCAUCACGACAUUGGAACUCACGUUAUCCAUCAUCUAUUCCACCCAGAUUUCACAUUAUCAUUUGGUAGAAACAGUGAGUACCCAUCUACUUGCCCAUCCCAUCUUUUACAUUUUUGAAUGACUAAAGAAAGUGUGCUAACCCUCAAGAGGCUUUUGCUUAAUGGCUGUUAAAUCUGUUUUUGCAGACCAAGGCAUCUAAACAUGUAUUUGGUAAGUAUUAACAUCUAGUACCAAGUAGAUUUGCUGCAUUGUCAUUAGACACUAUUAUGUUUGUAGAUGUCUCAUAGAACAUCAUAUGUUUUGACUUCUUCAUCUUUUUAGCUCUUAUGAAGGAAGUUGUUAGAAAAAGUGGAGUGUAUGGACAACCAUAACAUUUCUCAUUUCAUCACUGUUGUGUAGGUGCUUUUUAAGUUUUGUUUUGGAUUUUGAUUUAAUUGGGUAAUUGUGGUUCUGUGAAGUGGAUUUUGUUAAUAGAGGUGAAUUAGUUUUUAUGUUUGUGUGAUUUAUGUUCAUAGCGACUCAAUCAAAAAUAUUGACUGUCUGAAUCAUUCUCUAGUUUUUGUACGCUUUUACAGUAGAUUCACUCUCUGAAGUCAUGGUAGCUGCCCUGGUUUUCCAGCUUUAUGAAAAUGGAUGUUCUCUUAUCCUCCCUAUAGAUCUCAACUAAGUUUCUUUUUCAUUCUCAGCAAAAUAAGAUAUGGGUUUUGUUAAUCAGCAAUUCAUUUUCUUAAUCUAACCCCUUUUCUUAAUCUUCCGUCACCAACAUAUUCAUUAGCAGGUACUAAGAUCCCUGUCUUAAUUAGUGGUACCCAAUGAAAUUGUUAGUCCUUGGAAACUAUAAAUACUUGGUUAGAUGUUUUUAUGUUCAAUGCUUCAGUGAAUUUGAGCUGAAUGAAAUUGUGUUUCAGUUGAUUCUAAGUGAAUGGUUAUCUUCAAUUUGACAAUGUUAAUAACCGUAUCCCUUUUCCUACUUAGAUGCAUCUCAAAUGAAUCAUGUAUCAGUGAAAGAAUUGCUUUGGAAGUUCUUAAUCCGUGUAUAAAUAUGACUGAACUUUGUCGAUUCAGUGGUGCAAAGAUCUACCCUGGUAGGGGUAUUAGAUUUAUCAGGAGCGAUUCUCAGGUGUUCCUUUUUGUCAAACUCUAAAUGUAAGAGGUACUUCCGCAACAAGCUUAAGCCAGUAGGUGGUUCAUUAAGAAAAGCUUUUGAUGAAAUUUUUUUAAGACAAAUUGCUGGAUGUUAACAUUCUCUUGGGUCUGACAUUUGUUAAUUUGAAGUUGUGUUAUUUAUAAAACAAUUGUUAACAUCUGUAUGAACUCAUUGUUCAGGUAUCAUGUAUUCUUCAAGUAAGCACUAGUUAAGUUUCUUAUCUAUUUGAGUUUUAAGUAUUCA
This is an RNA transcript of Papaver somniferum (opium poppy), 1936 nucleotides long. It is a transcript of the gene named temperature-sensitive sn-2 acyl-lipid omega-3 desaturase (ferredoxin), chloroplastic-like, with no coding region annotated. The transcript has 7 exons. Lineage: Eukaryota; Viridiplantae; Streptophyta; Magnoliopsida; Ranunculales; Papaveraceae. The record is from RefSeq and is a predicted model, not a curated record.